GCAUCCAAAGUCCCAGAAUCUGUUAUUUGUUUUAUUUUGAGAACACACGAUGCAAGGAUCUGAAACAAGACAACAACAUGUGCACAUCAUUUUUAAAAAUUAUCAAUAAAAUAAUCUAUCAGGAUAUCUUCAACCCCUCAAAUUGACCAUGUAGAGCUACUGCCUUCCAUCUUCUAUCAUCAGUAUUAAUCUGGCUCUACAGGCAGAUGUGUCUUUUACUGUUCAAGCUGUUGCUUUUCCCUCCUUGUUCUUCCAUAUCCUGCCCUCACUGUUUGCCCUGUCAGUAGCUGUCUAUCAGUGCACUUAUAUCUCAGUGUACUGGGGCCAGUGAUGAAAAGAUAACCUGUACAGCAUCCAUUUUAGAGCAUGAAUGAAGUGAUUCAGUUGCUGCUUGAUAAUCACUGAUGUUUUCUGUCUCCAUCUGAUCAGGCUGCCUCUGCACAAAACCCCACAAGACGGCAGGCUGGAAACACCGAGGAGGAUUCUGUCAACUACGCUCCUCUGAACUUUAAGAAUAAUCUGAAGAAGAAGCAAAGAAAGGUGGAAGAAGACUCCGUGUAUGCGAAGGUGUCCAAGCCAACACGAGUUAAAAAGAAGGAACCAGAGAGCCUGCGGGACUAUGAUGACAUUAGUGAUGCAGCUGCACGUGCACCAACAUCUCCAAAUCUACUUGACGACCACACCAGUGAAGGUGAAGUGGAACUGAACUUUCCACAGGUGAGAUUCACAGCGACGCCCCGACGUCAGACGACCAACAGAGACUCCAGCAGCUCACACCAAGAUGAGAGUCUUUACUCUAACGUCAGGAUUUGACCCGAGAUGUUCUCGUCCUACUUUUUACAGCUACCUCGGGCCUGAGGAUGUUUAUAUUCACAAUAAGUCAUCACAGAGAGUCUGAAGAGUUCAUGUGUUAAACCGUGUUGCCAUUAGGAAUAUUUUAAAACAAGUUAGCAAGAAGGUACAGAAGUUACAUUACUGAGCUAAAAUAUAAUAUAUCAAUAUUUAAAACUGUUAAUUAAAGGUUCUGGAGAAAAUAGUGAACAAAGCUAAAUGUGAGGGAUAAACGGUUAAAAUCCUUAUUUUGAAACUUAAAAUGUAAUUAAUGUGAGUGUAAAAUGAUUGUAUUAAUAACUUUUGAUAUAAUCUAUAUAUAUAAAUUACAUGCAGUUAGACAAGAAAUGCUGAGAAUCACUGCUGAAUGUUUUUUUUGUGCUUUCCAGUGUUGUGAACUUAAUCCAA
Molecule: long non-coding RNA, 1239 nt
Organism: Pleuronectes platessa (European plaice)
Lineage: Eukaryota; Metazoa; Chordata; Actinopteri; Pleuronectiformes; Pleuronectidae
Exons: 3
Source: RefSeq, a predicted model, not a curated record